UACAGGGGGUGCAAACGUUGCUCGGAAUCAUUGGGCGUAAAGCGCACGUAGGCGGUUCGUUAUGUCGGAUGUGAAAGCCCUUGGCUUAACCGAGGAACUGCCCUCCAAACUGCUUGGCUUGAGUCCGGGAGAGGUGAGUGGAAUUCCCAGUGUAGCGGUGAAAUGCGUAGAUAUUGGGAGGAACACCAGUGGCGAAGGCGGCUCACUGGACCGGAACUGACGCUGAGGCGCGAAAGCGUGGGGAGCAAACGGG
This 253-nucleotide ribosomal RNA is filed under the name uncultured bacterium. RNAcentral's name for it is "partial 16S ribosomal RNA". It matches the Rfam family "Bacterial small subunit ribosomal RNA", at positions 524 to 776 of the family's 1533-position model. The record is from RNAcentral.